UUUCUUGUGGCUCAGUUGGUAGAGCAUUGUGCUAAAAACGCAAAGGUCGAGGGGUUCAAAUCCCAGGGAAU
Non-coding RNA from Danionella cerebrum, 71 nucleotides. The record is from the annotation of a GenBank genome assembly. Lineage: Eukaryota; Metazoa; Chordata; Actinopteri; Cypriniformes; Danionidae.